GAUGAAGAACGCAGCGAACGUGCGAAACGUAAUGUGAAUUGCAGAAUUCAGUGAAUCAUCGAAUCUUUGAACGCAUCUUGCGCUCCUUGGUAUUCCGAGGAGCAUGCCUGUUUGAGUGUCGUGAAUACUCUCAACUUCAACCCUUUUUUCGGAAAGGGAGGAAGGUUGGACUUGGGUGUUUGUUGAAGUGCGAGCUUCGACUCAUCCUAAAUGCAUUAGCGAUCUGCUUCGAUCACACACAAUGUGAUAAUUAAAACUAAAGCAUUGUUUAAUGAUCAAGUCGAGACUGCUUCUAACUGUCGCAAGACAAUAACGUGCAUACAUUUGUGCAUGUCAUUUGACCUCAAAUCAGGUAGGACUACCCGCUGAACUUAAGCAUAUCAAUAAGCGGAGGA
RNAcentral lists this unclassified non-coding RNA (395 nucleotides) under soil metagenome. RNAcentral's name for it is "partial contains 5.8S ribosomal RNA, internal transcribed spacer 2, and large subunit ribosomal RNA". The stretch from base 1 to 121 matches the Rfam family "5.8S ribosomal RNA", at positions 35 to 154 of the family's 154-position model. The record is from RNAcentral.